Molecule: ribosomal RNA, 301 nt
Filed under: uncultured bacterium
Lineage: Bacteria
Description: partial 16S ribosomal RNA
Rfam family: Bacterial small subunit ribosomal RNA
Source: RNAcentral
CAGUCGCCGCGGGAACACAGAGGGUGCGAGCGUUAAUCGGAUUUACUGGGCGUAAAGCGUGCGUAGGCGGCUUUUUAAGUCGGAUGUGAAAUCCCUGAGCUUAACUUAGGAAUUGCAUUCGAUACUGGGAAGCUAGAGUAUGGGAGAGGAUGGUAGAAUUCCAGGUGUAGCGGUGAAAUGCGUAGAGAUCUGGAGGAAUACCGAUGGCGAAGGCAGCCAUCUGGCCUAAUACUGACGCUGAGGUACGAAAGCAUGGGGAGCAAACAGGAUUAGAGACCCCGGUAGUCCCUGUCUCUUAUAC